GACGAACGCUGGCGGCGUGCUUAACACAUGCAAGUCGAACGGAAAGGCCCUGCUUUUGUGGGGUGCUCGAGUGGCGAACGGGUGAGUAACACGUGAGUAACCUGCCCUUGACCUUGGGAUAACUUCAGGAAACUGGGGCUAAUACCGGAUAGGAGCUCCUGCUGCAUGGUGGGGGUUGGAAAGUUUCGGCGGUUGGGGAUGGACUCGCGGCUUAUCAGCUUGUUGGUGGGGUAGUGGCGUACCAAGGCUUUGACGGGUAGCCGGCCUGGGAGGGUGACCGGCCACAUUGGGACUGAGAUACGGCCCAGAGUCCUACGGGAGGCAGCAGUGGGGAAUAUUGCACAAUGGGCGGAAGCCUGAUGCAGCAACGCCGCGUGCGGGAUGACGGCCUUCGGGUUGUAAACCGCUUUCGCCUGUGACGAAGCGUGAGUGACGGUAAUGGGUAAAGAAGCACCGGCUAACUACGUG
Molecule: ribosomal RNA, 468 nt
Filed under: uncultured bacterium
Lineage: Bacteria
Description: partial 16S ribosomal RNA
Rfam family: Bacterial small subunit ribosomal RNA
Source: RNAcentral